This 225-nucleotide long non-coding RNA is filed under the name Elaeis guineensis (African oil palm). RNAcentral's name for it is "long non-coding RNA (EGUI_LNC061857)". Lineage: Eukaryota; Viridiplantae; Streptophyta; Magnoliopsida; Arecales; Arecaceae. The record is from RNAcentral.
CCAGAAGUCCAUCUACAACUUCUAAAAAAAUUCUAGAGAUUUGAAAAAAAGAUUCAGAUCAGUUAAGAAGAAGGUCUUCACGUGAGCUAGCACUCCUGAGAAGACCGAUCAGAUCGGGGCUUCGAGUGAAUUUUUUGUAGAGGCCAAACAUGUGUGCGGCUGUGAGCAACUAGUAAGGACCUUCUCUAUCAUAUUUUUAAUAGCGAUGAUUGUCAACUCAUGCUG